GAGGCCAAGGUAAAAUCAGACAUCAUUUGACUGGACCCCAAUAUCAUAUCAAACUCUACUCUGUCUUUUAAACAGAGGAAGAAGGUCUUGAUGUAAUAGAGUGAGAAGGAAGGAAAAGCUGUAGUAAUUGAACAAUUUGGAGUGAACUGUGGGAAGAAUGUGAAGAGGGAAUCUAAGACUAAAAUCUCCAGUUCUUUCUGUAUGUUUAUGAGUUCUCCAGACCAAAGGUGCAAGCCAUGUUCUAGUAGAUCACAGGAGCAAGCUGCAUUGGUAAUGCCCCUAAGCCAGGCCACCCUGCCCUGGAGCCAGCCAGGAUUUUUAGAUUCAAGCCACAAGUUUAACAUCUAUGCAAGACAAUUAUCAUUAUACAGUUAGAUAUGUUGUAUUAUAUGUGUACCAUCAAGUUUCAUUGAUCUUCAUCAAUAGAAGUCAAAAGAAUA
This is a long non-coding RNA of Chinchilla lanigera (long-tailed chinchilla), 440 nucleotides long. RefSeq lists it as uncharacterized. The record is from RefSeq and is a predicted model, not a curated record. NCBI's taxonomy places the organism in Eukaryota, Metazoa, Chordata, Mammalia, Rodentia, Chinchillidae. The transcript is spliced from 4 exons.